RNAcentral lists this ribosomal RNA (460 nucleotides) under uncultured bacterium. RNAcentral's name for it is "partial 16S ribosomal RNA". It matches the Rfam family "Bacterial small subunit ribosomal RNA", at positions 338 to 795 of the family's 1533-position model. The record is from RNAcentral.
CCUACGGGCGGCAGCAGUGAGGAAUAUUGGUCAAUGGACGAGAGUCUGAACCAGCCAAGUAGCGUGAAGGAUGACUGCCCUAUGGGUUGUAAACUUCUUUUAUAAAGGAAUAAAACGAGGCACGUGUGCCUUUUUGCAUGUACUUUAUGAAUAAGGAUCGGCUAACUCCGUGCCAGCAGCCGCGGUAAUACGGAGGAUCCGAGCGUUAUCCGGAUUUAUUGGGUUUAAAGGGAGCGUAGAUGGGUUGUUAAGUCAGUUGUGAAAGGUUGCGGCUCAACCGUAAAAUUGCAAUUGAUACUGGCAGUCUUGAGUACAGGUGAGGUAGGCGGAAUUCGUGGUGUAGCGGUGAAAUGCUUAGAUAUCACGAAGAACCCCGAUUGCGAAGGCAGCUUACUAAACUGUGACUGACAUUGAUGCUCGAAAGUGUGGGUAUCAAACAGGAUUAGAUACCCUUGUAGUC